GUCUACAGCCAUGCUACCCUGAACAAGCCCAAUCCUGUCUGAUCUCAGAAGCUAAGCAGGAUUGGGCCUGGUUAGUACUUGGAUGGGAGACCACCUAGGAAGACCAGGUGCUGUAGUAG
RNAcentral lists this ribosomal RNA (119 nucleotides) under Pteropus alecto (black flying fox). Lineage: Eukaryota; Metazoa; Chordata; Mammalia; Chiroptera; Pteropodidae. The record is from RNAcentral.